Molecule: non-coding RNA, 426 nt
Organism: Corynebacterium genitalium ATCC 33030
Lineage: Bacteria; Bacillati; Actinomycetota; Actinomycetes; Mycobacteriales; Corynebacteriaceae
Rfam family: Bacterial RNase P class A
About the family: Ribonuclease P (RNase P) is a ubiquitous endoribonuclease, found in archaea, bacteria and eukarya as well as chloroplasts and mitochondria. Its best characterised activity is the generation of mature 5'-ends of tRNAs by cleaving the 5'-leader elements of precursor-tRNAs.
Source: Rfam
UGAGUCGGCUGGGUGAUCGCGGCUCCGCGAACCAUUCCACAGGAAAAAGGCGCGGGUCGAGGAAAGUCCGGACUCCACAGGGCACGGUGGUUGCUAACGGCAACCCGGAGCAAUCCGCGGGAAAGUGCAACAGAAAGUAGACCGCCGGCGCUGCGCACGGCAUCGCCGGGUGCAACGCAGGUAAGGGUGAAAGGGUGCGGUAAGAGCGCACCGGCGUGUGCGGUGACGCAUGCGGCCAGGUAAACCCCACUGGGAGCAAGGCAAGAACCCCUGCCUUUUGGCAGAGGUCGUCGGACGUGAUGAGGCUGCCCGCCCAUGUUCGAAGGUAGCUGCUCGAGACGCUCAGUAAUGGGCGUCCUAGAUGGAUGAUCGCCGCCCUGGGCUGCGCUCAGGGAACAGAAUCCGGCUCACAGGCCGGCUCACUCG